AUUGUACUCGCUCCGUCUGAAAAUACUUGUCCUUAAAAUGGAUAAAAAGGGAUGUAUCUAGACAUAUUUUAGUUCUAGAUAUAUCUAUUUUUAUCCAUUUUAAUGACAAGUAUUUCCAGACGGAGAGAGUACUAU
Molecule: non-coding RNA, 135 nt
Organism: Triticum urartu
Lineage: Eukaryota; Viridiplantae; Streptophyta; Magnoliopsida; Poales; Poaceae
Source: Rfam